This 452-nucleotide ribosomal RNA is filed under the name uncultured bacterium. Its description in RNAcentral is "bacterial SSU rRNA". It matches the Rfam family "Bacterial small subunit ribosomal RNA", at positions 29 to 517 of the family's 1533-position model. The record is from RNAcentral.
AACGAACGCUGGCGGCAUGCCUAACACAUGCAAGUCGAACGGGAUCCUAGCUUGCUAGGUGAGAGUGGCGGACGGGUGAGUAACACGUGGGAAUCUGCCUUUUGGUUCGGGAUAACCGCGGGAAACUGCGGCUAAUACCGAAUGCCCUCGAGAGAGGAAAGAUUUAUCGCCAGAAGAGGAGCCCGCGUCCGAUUAGGUAGUUGGUGGGGGUAAAAGCCUACCAAGCCGACGAUCGGUAAGCUGGUCUGAGAGGAUGAUCAGCCACACUGGGACUGAGAUACGGCCCAGACUCCUACGGGAGGCAGCAGUGGGGAAUAUUGGACAAUGGGGGCAACCCUGAUCCAGCAAUGCCGCGUGAGUGAUGAAGGCCUUAGGGUUGUAAAGCUCUUUUGCCAGGGAGAUGAUGACUGUACCUGGAGAAUAAGCCCCGGCUAACUUCGUGCCAGCAGCCA